Molecule: non-coding RNA, 143 nt
Organism: Escherichia coli str. K-12 substr. MG1655
Lineage: Bacteria; Pseudomonadati; Pseudomonadota; Gammaproteobacteria; Enterobacterales; Enterobacteriaceae
Source: Rfam
UUGACAAUCUUAUCGUGAAGGCAUACUUUCAGGAGUGAGGGUAGAGCGGGGUUUCCCCCGCCCUGGUAGUCUUAGUAAGCGGGGAAGCUUAUGACUAAGAGCACCACGAUGAUGAGUAGCUUCAUCAUGACCCUUUCCUUAUU